This is a long non-coding RNA of Gossypium arboreum, 507 nucleotides long. RefSeq lists it as uncharacterized. The record is from RefSeq and is a predicted model, not a curated record. The transcript is spliced from 2 exons. NCBI's taxonomy places the organism in Eukaryota, Viridiplantae, Streptophyta, Magnoliopsida, Malvales, Malvaceae.
GUCAUAAAGAAACAAAAGAAAAGAGAAAUAGUUACAGAGAAAUAAGAAGAAAGAAAGAAGAAAGAAAAGAAAAGGAGAAACUAAGGAUUAAAAGCUUGGAGUUUAAUUGGGUGGAGAUUGCACCUUGGUUGGCAAUUGUGUUGCUGAUAUUGUGCAGGUGACCAUAAUACUCGGCACCCAACUAAUUUCUUAACGUAGCAAAAGACAACCGACGGUGUCUUUGUCAACCAUAGAAGCUGAGUAUCGUGCAAUGACAAUCACAACUCAACUGAGCAAUUGACAUUUACAGCUAUUGGAGGGCUCCCAUCAAAUAGUGGAAUUUUCAAACAUGGUGCAUUACCAUUUUAUUAGAAAGUCCAAGAAGAUAUUAAGUUAAAACAUGUUAAGACAUGCAGAUCAUCAUUUGAUGUAUUACACAAAGUAUUUAAAUAAUUUGCUACUGGGAUUACCUUCCUUCCUUGACUAACUUAACUUUUAUCAAAGAAUCCCACAUUGCUCAGGGAGUAA